Molecule: long non-coding RNA, 1260 nt
Filed under: Oncorhynchus mykiss (rainbow trout)
Lineage: Eukaryota; Metazoa; Chordata; Actinopteri; Salmoniformes; Salmonidae
Description: lncRNA (ENSOMYG00000063301.1)
Source: RNAcentral
CGACACAUUCUAGCCACUCUGAAUGUUCUAACGACACAUUCUAGCCACUCUGAAUGUUCUAACGACACAUCCUUCUUAACAGCACUGUCAACAAGGCAGGUUUUACAGGCUCUAGUUUCUACCUUCUUAACAGCACUGUCAACAAGGCAGGUUUUACAGGCUCUAGUUUCUACCUUCUUAACAGCACUACCAACAAGGCAGAUCCUACAGGUCCUAGUUUCUGCCUUCUUAACAGCACUACCAACAAGGCAGGUCCUACAGGCCCUAGUUUCUGCCUUCUUAACAGCACUACCAACAAGGCAGGUCCUACAGGCCCUAGUUUCUACCUUCUUAACAGCACUGUCAACAAGGCAGGUCCUACAGGCCCUAGUUUCUACCUUCUUAACAGCACUGUCAACAAGGCAGGUCCUACAGGCCCUAGUUUCUACCUUCUUAACAACACUACCAACAAGGCAGGUCCUACAGGCCCUAGUUUCUACCUUCUUAACAGCACUGUCAACAAGGCAGGUCCUACAGGCCCAAGUUUCUACCUUCUUAACAGCACUGUCAACAAGGCAGGUCCUACAGGCCCUAGUUUCUACCUUCUUAACAGCACUGUCAACAAGGCAGGUCCUACAGGCCCUAGUUUCUACCUUCUUAACAGCACUGUCAACAAGGCAGGUUUUACAGGCCCUAGUUUCUACCUACUUAACAGCACUGUCAACAAGGCAGGUCCUACAGGCCCUAGUUUCUACCUUCUUAACAACACUACCAACAAGGCAGGUCCUACAGGCUCUAGUUUCUACCUUCUUAACAGCACUGUCAACAAGGCAGGUCCUACAGGCUCUAGUUUCUACCUUCUUAACAACACUACCAACAAGGCAGGUCCUACAGGCCCUAGUUUCUACCUUCUUAACAACACUAUCAACAAGGCAGGUCCUACAGGCUCUAGUUUCUACCUUAUUAACAACACUAUCAACAAGGCAGGUCCUACAGGCCCUAGUUUCUGACUUCUUAACAGCACUGUCAACAAGGCAGGUCCUACAGGUCCUAGUUUCUACCUUCUUAACAGCACUGUCAACAAGGCAGGUCCUACAGGUCCUAGUUUCUACCUUCUUAACAGCACAGUCAACAAGGCAGGUCCUACAGGCUCUAGUUUUGUCACACCUGGACUACUGUCGUGUGGUCAGGUUCCACAAAGAAGGACUUAGGGAAAUUGCAAUUGGCUCAGAACAGGGCAACACAAUUGGCCCUUGGAUGUACACAGAGAGCAAACAUUAA